UAGAGGAUGUCUAACUUUUUUUUUUCUUUUGUACCAAAUUACUUUGACGGAAUGGUGCAAAGGAAAGACGAGUGGAUGAUUUGGUACAAGUUAUAGAAAAGGUAAAGGUAACUCCAACAUGCAGUACUGCUUUGGUGACCAGAAGACCAUACGUCAGAACUCC
Myotis brandtii (Brandt's bat) is the source of this 163-nucleotide long non-coding RNA. RefSeq lists it as uncharacterized. The transcript is spliced from 3 exons. The record is from RefSeq and is a predicted model, not a curated record. NCBI's taxonomy places the organism in Eukaryota, Metazoa, Chordata, Mammalia, Chiroptera, Vespertilionidae.